AUCUAGAAACUAAUCAGUUGUAACAACCAUAUCAUAAAAAGUUCAAGUCAAGAUAAAGUUUAAGUUGUGCACAUAAAUACAUGAUAAAUAAACUUGUGUGUACACGGCAAACCCCUCCAAGACGAGGCUUGCAACUCAGACAGACCCCCUUUAAGAAAUGGCAUGCAAUUCGGAUUUUUUUUUUUUGUAAUGCAAAAUUAGGUGGGAACACCGAUUGAGGGUCCUUAAAAAAAAAAAAAAAAUGUGCUCAAUAUGCGUAUUUUACUAACGAAGAAGCGACGAAAAAAAAAAAACGAAAAAACAACGGAACAGACGAUUUUCGAUUUCGGUUGCAGAGGGCCCUCAGAGCUCGAGGUAUUAUCGAAUCCGUUACCGGUCGCCGCUGCGGUUAUUCGCGAUCGGUAACGUAGUGGGAUGGUGUUGAGUGGUAAGGUGGUAGCAGGGGUGAUUUGAUCGACUCGUCGAGUAGCAGCGCUCCGAACAAGUGCACACGCACACUUUGGGAAACAUUGGACCGGCGAAAACGCACGUGAUAAGCUCUCGAGCACUGCCGCGCGCGUAUUCGGUUCGAGCGAUAGUUCACGCGGUGCACCGUCACCACCCGGUCCGGAGACGACCAGAUCGAGACUUGAAAAACAAUAAUGAAGAUUUAUAAAAACUCAAGAACUAACUAAUGAUUACAUCCUGUAAUGAGUAAUAUUAUUUAUCAUUAUUGUGUAAACUAUUCAUUAUGGUAUAUAAAUAUGUAAACUCGAAUUUGCUUUCCCCACCUCGAAUGAUAAGUAAUCAAAGCUGUUGAAUUACGAACAACGAUGACAUGAUGGACGACAAUGACUCCAUUGUCCGUGAACCGAGACCAUGACAACCGCUUGCUUGACAAUAGCUUCUUAGUAACAACGGAGUCGAGAAAGAGCGUACAAUAAUAAGCUAAGUCGGUAGGAGCAAGAACAGAGGAGGAUCGAAAACAAUUUAUCGCAGGAUAAGUGUUAAGGGAAUUUAUACUUCCUUACUUAUAACUUUGAACUUUACACCCUUGUUGUUGAAAUAAAACGAAA
Molecule: long non-coding RNA, 1055 nt
Organism: Sipha flava (yellow sugarcane aphid)
Lineage: Eukaryota; Metazoa; Arthropoda; Insecta; Hemiptera; Aphididae
Exons: 3
Source: RefSeq, a predicted model, not a curated record